GAGGGGGAGCUUGGCUGGAUGUGAGGCAGAAGAAGCAGGCCUCCAGGUCCCAGGGUCAGGACUAGGGUGCAGGUUGGCCCUGAACCCCAGCAGGUGGUAUCUGCCAGUCCAAAGUCUGUGAGCACCCCACCAAAAGGAGGUGUCUCCAGCAGGCUGUUAACCUUGGAUCACACAGACUCAGAAGGCAACAGCUGCUUGCCUUGCCUGAAAAUGCCUUGUGAUGGUGACUCCAGGACACAGCAAGUCCCUUCAAGGAGCACGUUGGUUAACAGCUGCUGCCGAAGCCUGUCCACUCUGCCCACCUCAGCACUCCCCUAAGAGCCCCAGGCCUCCCCGCAUCCAGCAACUAAGAGAUCGAUACAUGACGCUGCC
This 372-nucleotide long non-coding RNA is filed under the name Equus asinus (donkey). RNAcentral's name for it is "lncRNA (ENSEASG00005037536.1)". The record is from RNAcentral. Lineage: Eukaryota; Metazoa; Chordata; Mammalia; Perissodactyla; Equidae.